Molecule: ribosomal RNA, 313 nt
Filed under: Kocuria rosea
Lineage: Bacteria; Bacillati; Actinomycetota; Actinomycetes; Micrococcales; Micrococcaceae
Description: bacterial SSU rRNA
Rfam family: Bacterial small subunit ribosomal RNA
Source: RNAcentral
CGGCGUGCUUACACAUGCAAGUCGAACGAUGAUGCCCAGCUUGCUGGGCGGAUUAGUGGCGAACCGGUGAGUAAUACGUGAGUAACCUGCCCUUGACUCUGGGAUAAGCCUGGGAAACUGGGUCUAAUACUGGAUACUACCUCUUACCGCAUGGUGUGUGGUGGAAAGGGUUUUACUGGUUUUGGAUGGGCUCACGGCCUAUCAGCUUGUUGGUGGGGUAAUGGCUCACCAAGGCGACGACGGGUAGCCGGCCUGAGAGGGUGACCGGCCACACUGGGACUGAGACACGGCCCAGACUCCUACGGGAGGCAGC